UGAGCAAUCUGCCCUUCUCAUCGGAAUAAGCGUUGGAAACGACGUCUAAUGCCGAAUACGACCUCCUUUCGCAUGAUCGGAGGUGGAAAGCUCCGGCGGAGAAGGAUGAGCUCGCGGCCUAUCAGCUAGUUGGUGUGGGUAAUGGCCCACCAAGGCGACGACGGGUAGCCGGCCUGGAGAGGGACCGGCCACACUGGGACUGAGACACGGCCCAGACUCCUACGGGAGGNAG
This 232-nucleotide ribosomal RNA is filed under the name uncultured bacterium. Its description in RNAcentral is "partial 16S ribosomal RNA". It matches the Rfam family "Bacterial small subunit ribosomal RNA", at positions 118 to 351 of the family's 1533-position model. The record is from RNAcentral.